AAGAGGGGGACCUUCGGGCCUCUUGCCAUCGGAUGUGCCCAGAUGGGAUUUAGCUUGUAGGUGGGGUAACGGCUCACCAAGGCGACGAUCCCUAGCUGGUCUGAGAGGAUGACCAGCCACACUGGAACUGAGACACGGUCCAGACUCCUACGGGAGGCAGCAGUGGGGAAUAUUGCACAAUGGGCGCAAGCCUGAUGCAGCCAUGCCGCGUGUAUGAAGAAGGCCUUCGGGUUGUAAAGUACUUUCAGCGGGGAGGAAGGGAGUAAAGUUAAUACCUUUGCUCAUUGACGUUACCCGCAGAAGAAGCACCGGCUAACUCCGUGCCAGCAGCCGCGGUAAUACGGAGGGUGCAAGCGUUAAUCGGAAUUACUGGGCGUAAAGCGCACGCAGGCGGUUUGUUAAGUCAGAUGUGAAAUCCCCGGGCUCAACCUGGGAACUGCAUCUGAUACUGGCAAGCUUGAGUCUCGUAGAGGGGGGUAGAAUUCCAGGUGUAGCGGUGAAAUGCGUAGAGAUCUGGAGGAAUACCGGUGGCGAAGGCGGCCCCCUGGACGAAGACUGACGCUCAGGUGCGAAAGCGUGGGGAGCAAACAGGAUUAGAUACCCUGGUAGUCCACGCCGUAAACGAUGUCGACUUGGAGGUUGUGCGCCUUGAGGCGCGGCUUCCGGAGUUAACGCGUUAAGUCGCCGGCCUGGGGAGUACGGCGGCAAGGUUAAAACUCAAAUUAAUUGACGGGGGCCCGUCACAAACGGUGGAGCAUGUGGUUUAAUCCGACGUAACGCGAAGAACCUUUUCUGGUCUUGACGUCCUUGGAAGUUCUCAGAGAAGAGAAGGAUCAUUCGGGAGCCCUGAGACAGAUAUUGCACGGCGGUCCUUAGCUUGGGAGUUGAAACGGUGGGUUAAGUCCCAGCAGAGGAGGGUAAUCCUUAUCGUCCAUUGCGAGAUGUUCGCCCGGGAGAUCAAAGGAGCCUCCCACAGAUAAAUUCCAUGAAGGCGGGUAUGACGUCAAGUGAUCAUGAGCUCCCCGUCCAGGGUCACACGCGGGUAACAAGGGUGCAUACAAAGAGAAGGGACCUAUCGCGAUCAAUCGGGCAUCAUAAAGUGCGUUGUUGUCCGGUUUGGCGUUUGUAAGUAAAGAACCAGAAGUCGGCAUGGUUAGUAAUGGUGGAUAAGAAUGACGCGGUGAACAAGUUCCCGGUCCGAGCACGCACCGCCCUUCA
Molecule: ribosomal RNA, 1218 nt
Filed under: uncultured bacterium
Lineage: Bacteria
Description: partial 16S ribosomal RNA
Rfam family: Bacterial small subunit ribosomal RNA
Source: RNAcentral